Long non-coding RNA from Salvia miltiorrhiza (redroot sage), 651 nucleotides. RefSeq lists it as uncharacterized. The record is from RefSeq and is a predicted model, not a curated record. The transcript is spliced from 3 exons. NCBI's taxonomy places the organism in Eukaryota, Viridiplantae, Streptophyta, Magnoliopsida, Lamiales, Lamiaceae.
GAAUUAUUUUGUGAGUUAGUUAAGGUGUAGAAUUUUAAACCCACACAUACUCAUAUUUUAUUUUGUAUGUGAUGUGUGGCUCGAUAGUUAUAAGAAGAGUUUGUUCCUAAAGUGCUUGAUUGAAGGUUAUAUAGUGCUAUUUCUAUAAUAGCAAUUUUAUAGAUUUUAAUAAUAGGUGUAUUUUAUUGGAUAAGUAUAGUGGACUUUAUGAAUUAGCUUAUAAGGAAAGACAACCUUCCUUUUCUCCCUUCUUCUACCAAGGUGCCGUAUCCCUCUUCUUUUCCUCAACCUCCAUGUUUGUCGAUCCAAGCUCCAAGAAUCACUCCAAAAAAAUCACACCUAUAUUCAUCCAGAAACGUAUAUUAAGGUUUGAGUGGCAGUGUAGAGUGAACAAGCAAAGACUUCUAUUUCAUUAAGCGUAUCAGGUUGAGCUAAUGUGGUGAUGGUGCUGCAAUGAGCGGAGUCUCCAGGGUUGUUAAUAAAUAGUUAACCUGUCUAGAAUAUGUCUUCAUACAUAUGUCUAGCUACUUUCCGCUGCAAGAUGUUGUUGAUGUUAUAGUAUGUUAUGUCAUACUUUGAGUCUUAAUAGAAUGGUUUCAUAUGAUGUAUAACUUGAUUAAUGAUAUUAAUUAAGUUUUAUACUGUCUUUCA